UUGCCGCUGGCGGCAGGCCUAAACAUGCAAGUCGAGCGGAUGACGGGAGCUUGCUCCUUGAUUCAGCGGCGGACGGGUGAGUAAUGCCUAGGAAUCUGCCUGGUAGUGGGGGACAACGUUUCGAAAGGAACGCUAAUACCGCAUACGUCCUACGGGAGAAAGCAGGGGACCUUCGGGCCUUGCGCUAUCAGAUGAGCCUAGGUCGGAUUAGCUUGUUGGUGAGGUAAUGGCUCACCAAGGCGACGAUCCGUAACUGGUCUGAGAGGAUGAUCAGUCACACUGGAACUGAGACACGGUCCAGACUCCUACGGGAGGCAGCAGUGGGGAAUAUUGGACAAUGGGCGAAAGCCUGAUCCAGCCAUGCCGCGUGUGUGAAGAAGGUCUUCGGAUUGUAAAGCACUUUAAGUUGGGAGGAAGGGCAGUAAGUUAAUACCUUGCUGUUUUGACGUUACCGACAGAAUAAGCACCGGCUAACUCUGUGCCAGCCGCCGCGGUAAAUACA
RNAcentral lists this ribosomal RNA (502 nucleotides) under Pseudomonas putida. Its description in RNAcentral is "bacterial SSU rRNA". It matches the Rfam family "Bacterial small subunit ribosomal RNA", at positions 34 to 527 of the family's 1533-position model. Lineage: Bacteria; Pseudomonadati; Pseudomonadota; Gammaproteobacteria; Pseudomonadales; Pseudomonadaceae. The record is from RNAcentral.